UUUUUUUUUCUUCAAAAAAUGAAAAACAUUGAAAUUUUAAAUUUUAACAUCUCCAACACAAUCAUAACAUAAGCAUUCUAACUAGAAUCAAAGACAAUGAAAAUAAACAUUUAAAGUUGAACUAAAAUCAUCAAUCAAGUCUUCCAAAGUCCAAACUAACAACCUCACAACAUAAAAAUCGUACAAAUGACUUAGAAAAGUUAAAUUGUAUGAUGUUGUUCAAGGAUCAGGGUUGUAUGCUUGUAACUGCAUGUCGACAACUUGAUUAGUAAAAGUAAUGAGUGGGUGGAUUUAUUUAGUGUGUGUUGGAUUCUUUUCCAUCACAAAUUACGCAAGUAAUCUACCCAAAAUAAAUGUUUAUGGAUUCUGUUACAUGUUAUAUGAGAGUAGAUUUGGAAAAGAAAGCUGGGACAGAAGUAGACAGUGCUAUGAAGAUGGAUGUAGGUACUUCAGGAGGAGGUUUGGUUCCGGAACCUUAUAUGGGGGAGAAAUAAUAGGUUAGGGUUUAGAGUUUUUAUAGGCCUUUUUUAAUAUUUUGAGCUUAAAGUUUGGCAACACAUUGGGUUUAGCACAUUUUAA
This 579-nucleotide long non-coding RNA is filed under the name Malus domestica (apple). Its description in RNAcentral is "long non-coding RNA (MDOM_LNC017605)". The record is from RNAcentral. Lineage: Eukaryota; Viridiplantae; Streptophyta; Magnoliopsida; Rosales; Rosaceae.